RNAcentral lists this transfer RNA (65 nucleotides) under Tryonicus mackerrasae. Its description in RNAcentral is "tRNA-Cys". Lineage: Eukaryota; Metazoa; Arthropoda; Insecta; Blattodea; Tryonicidae. The record is from RNAcentral.
GGUCUUAUAUUCAUAAAAAGUGAUUAUAGAAUGCAAUUCUAUAGGGGUAAAUUUUACUAAGACUU